UGGUGGAGUGAUUUGUCUGGUUAAUUCCGUUAACGAACGAGACCUCAGCCUGCUAACUAGUUUUGCUAAUCUUUGAUUAGUAAAACUUCUUAGAGGGACUAUCGGUUACUAGCCGGUGGAAGUUUGAGGCAAUAACA
RNAcentral lists this ribosomal RNA (137 nucleotides) under uncultured eukaryote. RNAcentral's name for it is "partial 18S ribosomal RNA". It matches the Rfam family "Eukaryotic small subunit ribosomal RNA", at positions 1299 to 1458 of the family's 1831-position model. The record is from RNAcentral.